GACGAACGCUGGCGGCGUGCUUAACACAUGCAAGUCGAACGGUGAAGCGCCUUCCUUUUUGGUGGGUGUGGAUGAGUGGCGAACGGGUGAGUAACACGUGAGUAACCUGCCCCCUUCUUCUGGAUAACCGCAUGAAAGUGUGGCUAAUACGGGAUAUUCUGGGUCUGUCGCAUGAUGGGUCUGGGAAAGAUAUUGUUUCGGUGGGGGAUGGGCUCGCGGCCUAUCAGCUUGUUGGUGGGGUGAUGGCCUACCAAGGCGGUGACGGGUAGCCGGCCUGAGAGGGUGGACGGUCACACUGGGAAUGAGACACGGCACAGACUACUACGGGAGGCAGCAGUGGGGAAUAUUGCACAAUGGGAGCAAGCCUGAUGCAGCGACGCCGCGUGAGGGAUGGAGGCCUUCGGGUUGUGAACCUCUUUCGCCAGUGAAGCAGGCCUGCCUCGUUUGUGGGUGGGUUGACGGUAGCUGGAUAAGAAGCGCCGGCUAACUACGUG
This 494-nucleotide ribosomal RNA is filed under the name uncultured bacterium. RNAcentral's name for it is "partial 16S ribosomal RNA". It matches the Rfam family "Bacterial small subunit ribosomal RNA", at positions 28 to 507 of the family's 1533-position model. The record is from RNAcentral.